UUGCAUGCGGCGUGCUUACACAUGCAGUCGAACGGUGAAGCAGAGCUUGCUCUGUGGAUCAGUGGCGAACGGGUGAGUAACACGUGAGCAACCUGCCCCUGACUCUGGGAUAAGCGCUGGAAACGGCGUCUAAUACUGGAUAUGAGCUGCGAUCGCAUGGUCAGCAGUUGGAAAGAUUUUUCGGUCUGGGAUGGGCUCACGGCCUAUCAGCUUGUUGGUGAGGUAAUGGCUCACCAAGGCGUCGACGGGUAGCCGGCCUGAGAGGGUGACCGGCCACACUGGGACUGAGACACGGCCCAGACUCCUACGGGAGGCAGCAGUGGGGAAUAUUGCACAAUGGGCGAAAGCCUGAUGCAGCAACGCCGCGUGAGGGAUGACGGCCUUCGGGUUGUAAACCUCUUUUAGCAGGGAAGAAGCGAAAGUGACGGUACCUGCAGAAAAAGCGCCGGCUAACUACGUGCCAGCAGCCGCGGUAAUACGUAGGGCGCAAGCGUUAUCCGGAAUUAUUGGGCGUAAAGAGCUCGUAGGCGGUUUGUCGCGUCUGCUGUGAAAUCCCGAGGCUCAACCUCGGGUCUGCAGUGGGUACGGGCAGACUAGAGUGCGGUAGGGGAGAUUGGAAUUCCUGGUGUAGCGGUGGAAUGCGCAGAUAUCAGGAGGAACACCGAUGGCGAAGGCAGAUCUCUGGGCCGUUACUGACGCUGAGGAGCGAAAGGGUGGGGAGCAAACAGGCUUAGAUACCCUGGUAGUCCACCCCGUAAACGUUGGGAACUAGUUGUGGGGUCCAUUCCACGGAUUCCGUGACGCAGCUAACGCAUUAAGUUCCCCGCCUGGGGAGUACGGCCGCAAGGCUAAAACUCAAGGAAUUGACGGGGACCCGCACAAGCGGCGGAGCAUGCGGAUUAAUUCGAUGCAACGCGAAGAACCUUACCAAAGGCUUGACAUAUACGAGAACGGGCCAGAAAUGGUCAACUCUUUGGACACUCGUAAACAGGUGGUGCAUGAUUGUCGUCAGCUCGUGUCGUGA
RNAcentral lists this ribosomal RNA (1024 nucleotides) under Microbacterium sp. HBUM178194. RNAcentral's name for it is "bacterial SSU rRNA". It matches the Rfam family "Bacterial small subunit ribosomal RNA", at positions 33 to 1070 of the family's 1533-position model. Lineage: Bacteria; Bacillati; Actinomycetota; Actinomycetes; Micrococcales; Microbacteriaceae. The record is from RNAcentral.